RNAcentral lists this ribosomal RNA (871 nucleotides) under uncultured Planctomycetota bacterium. Its description in RNAcentral is "bacterial SSU rRNA". It matches the Rfam family "Bacterial small subunit ribosomal RNA", at positions 81 to 986 of the family's 1533-position model. Lineage: Bacteria; Pseudomonadati; Planctomycetota. The record is from RNAcentral.
UUCGGGUGUGGACACCGGCGAAAGGGCGAGGAGCGGUAUCGAACGUACCCCGAAGUGGAGGAUAGCCAGUGGAAACGCUGAGUAAUACUCCAUGAUCUCUCCGGAGCAAAGCUACGGCGCUUUGGGAGCGGCGAUAUUCCUAUCAGGUUGUUGGUGAGGUAAAGGCUCACCAAGCCGAAGACGGGUAGCGGGUGUGAGAGCACGACCCGCCGCAUCGGAACUGAGACACUGUCCGGACUCCUACGGGAGGCUGCAGCGACGAAUCUUCCGCAAUGCACGAAAGUGUGACGGAGCAAUGCCGCGUGUGGGAUGAAUCGGCUCCGCCGUGUAAACCACUGUCAGGGACUAGUAAUACUGAACAGUCCCAAAGGAAGGGCCGGCUAACCUCGUGCCAGCAGCCGCGGUAAUACGAGGGGCCCGAGCGUUAUUCGGAAUCACUGGGCUUAAAGGGAACGCAGGCUGGCUUGUAAGUAUCUCGUGAAAUCCCUCGGCUCAACCGAGGAACUGCGGGGUAAACUACAAGUCUUGAGAUGGGUAGAGGUCAUCGGAACGAUCGGUGGAGCGGUGAAAUGCGUAGAUAUCGAUCGGAACGCCAAAGGUGAAGACAGGUGACUGGGCCCAUUCUGACGCUCAUGUUCGAAAGCGUGGGGAGCAAACAGGAUUAGAUACCCUGGUAGUCCACGCCCUAAACGAUGUGCACUAGGCCCCGGGACUUUCAACGGUUUCGGGGUCGAAGAGAAAUCGAUAAGUGCACCGCCUGGGGAGUACGGUCGCAAGGCUAAAACUCAAAGGAAUUGACGGGGGCUCACACAAGCGGUGGAGCAUGUUGCUUAAUUCGAAGCAACGCGAAGAACCUUACCUGGGUUUGACA